This 408-nucleotide ribosomal RNA is filed under the name Priestia megaterium. RNAcentral's name for it is "bacterial SSU rRNA". It matches the Rfam family "Bacterial small subunit ribosomal RNA", at positions 1014 to 1422 of the family's 1533-position model. Lineage: Bacteria; Bacillati; Bacillota; Bacilli; Caryophanales; Bacillaceae. The record is from RNAcentral.
UCCCCUUCGGGGGACAGAGUGACAGUUNGUGCAUGGUUGUCGUCAGCUCGUGUCGUGAGAUGUUGGGUUAAGUCCCGCAACGAGCGCAACCCUUGAUCUUAGUUGCCAGCAUUUAGUUGGGCACUCUAAGGUGACUGCCGGUGACAAACCGGAGGAAGGUGGGGAUGACGUCAAAUCAUCAUGCCCCUUAUGACCUGGGCUACACACGUGCUACAAUGGAUGGUACAAAGGGCUGCAAGACCGCGAGGUCAAGCCAAUCCCAUAAAACCAUUCUCAGUUCGGAUUGUAGGCUGCAACUCGCCUACAUGAAGCUGGAAUCGCUAGUAAUCGCGGAUCAGCAUGCCGCGGUGAAUACGUUCCCGGGCCUUGUACACACCGCCCGUCACACCACGAGAGUUUGUAACACCC